Molecule: ribosomal RNA, 452 nt
Filed under: uncultured bacterium
Lineage: Bacteria
Description: bacterial SSU rRNA
Rfam family: Bacterial small subunit ribosomal RNA
Source: RNAcentral
UCGAGAAUCUUCCGCAAUGGACGAAAGUCUGACGGAGCGACGCCGCGUGAUGGAUGAAGUCCCUCUGGGACGUAAACAUCUUUUAUGAGGGAGAAAGUUUAUUGAUAGUACCUCACGAAUAAGGGGUUGCUAAACUCGUGCCAGCAGCAGCGGUAAUACGAUUGCCCCGAGCGUUAUCCGGAAUCAUUGGGCGUAAAGGGUGUGUAGGUGGCAUUGUUAGUCACACGUUAAACCCUGGGGCUUAACCCCAGAUCUGCGUGUGAUACGGCAAAGCUAGAGGAUGGCAGGGAUGUAUGGAACUCAUGGAGUAGGGGUGAAAUCCGUUGAUAUCAUGGGGAACACCGAAAGCGAAGGCAGUACAUUGGGCCACUCCUGACACUGAAACACGAAAGCGUGGGUAGCGAAUGGGAUUAGAUACCCAAGUAGUCCCUGAGCGGGCUGGCAAGGCGCAU